CCUACGGGUGGCAGCAGUGGGGAAUAUUGCACAAUGGGCGCAAGCCUGAUGCAGCCAUGCCGCGUGUGUGAAGAAGGCCUUCGGGUUGUAAAGCACUUUCAGCGGGGAGGAAGGCGGUGAGGUUAAUAACCUCAUCGAUUGACGUUACCCGCAGAAGAAGCACCGGCUAACUCCGUGCCAGCAGCCGCGGUAAUACGGAGGGUGCAAGCGUUAAUCGGAAUUACUGGGCAUAAAGCGCACGCAGGCGGUCUGUCAAGUCGGAUGUGAAAUCCCCGGGCUCAACCUGGGAACUGCAUUCGAAACUGGCAGGCUAGAGUCUUGUAGAGGGGGGUAGAAUUCCAGGUGUAGCGGUGAAAUGCGUAGAGAUCUGGAGGAAUACCGGUGGCGAAGGCGGCCCCCUGGACAAAGACUGACGCUCAGGUGCGAAAGCGUGGGGAGCAAACAGGAUUAGAUACCCGAGUAGUC
Molecule: ribosomal RNA, 465 nt
Filed under: uncultured Klebsiella sp.
Lineage: Bacteria; Pseudomonadati; Pseudomonadota; Gammaproteobacteria; Enterobacterales; Enterobacteriaceae
Description: bacterial SSU rRNA
Rfam family: Bacterial small subunit ribosomal RNA
Source: RNAcentral